Synchiropus splendidus (mandarinfish) is the source of this 67-nucleotide non-coding RNA. NCBI's taxonomy places the organism in Eukaryota, Metazoa, Chordata, Actinopteri, Syngnathiformes, Callionymidae. The record is from the annotation of a RefSeq genome assembly.
GGUAAGGUGGCUGAGUAAGCGGUGGAUUGUAGCCCCACACACAGGGGUUUUAGUCCCCUUCUUGCCA